AACACUGUUAACCUGCGGUACCUGCGGAGGGAUCAUUACAGAGUUCGUGCCCUCGCGGGUAGAUCUCCCACCCUUGUGUAUUCUCUACAUCUUGUUGCUUUGGCAGGCCGUUGGUUCGCCAACCACCGGCUCGCGGGCUGGUGCGUGCCUGCCAGAGGACCUCUCAAACUCGGUUUGUUAGUGUCGUCUGAGUACCAUAACAAUCGUUAAAACUUUCAACAACGGAUCUCAGAUCGGAAG
This 240-nucleotide unclassified non-coding RNA is filed under the name soil metagenome. RNAcentral's name for it is "partial contains 5.8S ribosomal RNA, internal transcribed spacer 2, and large subunit ribosomal RNA". The record is from RNAcentral.